AUUAUGUUUAUUUCAAUGAUGGAUGGAUACCCCUUCCCAUUUCCAAGUUACCCUUCCUUUCCUACCCCUAAUACAAUGUUUGUAUUAUUAUCACUUGUUAUACAAAAUUUUAAAACUUUAAUAAAAAUUAUUUGAAAAGAAUGAGAACAGUUUGUUCGGAUCGGAAUUUAAUUUGAAUGAUUAAAACUCCGAUCCUAUUUGUGCCGCAGCUGCAUCUUGCAGCCGCUAAGUAGAUAACUCCCUAAUUAAGGAAGCUAUCUACCAAAAGGCUGAAAGACCUAAAUUGGGCUUUUAGCCAAAUGUACUAAUACUAAGUAAAAACCACGAGUAGGGGCAUGUCUAUUUAACAGUGGCUGCUCGGUGUUAAAAAAAACCCAAAAACCUAGUAUCUCCCCUCCUGAGCCCCUACCCGUGCCGCGCGAGUGGGGGCUAUUAAACUGAAGGGGGGACCUAGCGCCCCCCGUCCCCCACCCCUGAGCAACGGGUGGGGCCCCUAAAUAACAAUAAGGGGGGAACCUAUUGUCCUCCCCCCCAGCCCCCACCCCUGAGCAGCGGGUGGAGGACCUAAAUAACAAUAAGGGGGGGAACCUAGU
Molecule: non-coding RNA, 593 nt
Organism: Pelobates cultripes (western spadefoot toad)
Lineage: Eukaryota; Metazoa; Chordata; Amphibia; Anura; Pelobatidae
Source: the annotation of a GenBank genome assembly